UCAUAAGCGGAGGAAAAGAAACCAACAGGGAUUGCCUUAGUAGCGGCGAGUGAAGCGGCAAAAGCUCAAAUUUGAAAUCUGGCACCUUCGGUGUCCGAGUUGUAAUUUGAAGAUUGUAACCUUGGGGUUGGCUCUUGUCUAUGUUUCUUGGAACAGGACGUCACAGAGGGUGAGAAUCCCGUGCGAUGAGAUGCCCAAUCCUAUGUAAGGUGCUUUCGAAGAGUCGAGUUGUUUGGGAAUGCAGCUCUAAGUGGGUGGUAAAUUCCAUCUAAAGCUAAAUAUUGGCGAGAGACCGAUAGCGAACAAGUACAGUGAUGGAAAGAUGAAAAGAACUUUGAAAAGAGAGUGAAAAAGUACGUGAAAUUGUUGAAAGGGAAGGGUUUGAGAUCAGACUCGAUAUUUUGUGAGCCUUGCCUUCGUGGCGGGGUGACCCGCAGCUUAUCGGGCCAGCAUCGGUUUGGGCGGUAGGAUAAUGGCGUAGGAAUGUGACUUUGCUUCGGUGAAGUGUUAUAGCCUGCGUUGAUGCUGCCUGCCUAGACCGAGGACUGCGAUUUUAUCAAGGAUGCUGGC
This 570-nucleotide ribosomal RNA is filed under the name Meyerozyma guilliermondii. RNAcentral's name for it is "eukaryotic LSU rRNA". It matches the Rfam family "Eukaryotic large subunit ribosomal RNA", at positions 44 to 630 of the family's 3401-position model. The record is from RNAcentral. Lineage: Eukaryota; Fungi; Ascomycota; Pichiomycetes; Serinales; Debaryomycetaceae.